RNAcentral lists this non-coding RNA (182 nucleotides) under human gut metagenome. RNAcentral describes it as "6S / SsrS RNA". It matches the Rfam family "6S / SsrS RNA". From Rfam's summary of the family: E. coli 6S RNA was the first non coding RNA to be sequenced, but its function was unknown until recently. It consists of 184 nucleotides that fold into an extended hairpin structure with a large single-stranded internal bulge. The record is from RNAcentral.
CUCCCUGCGUGGUACGUGUAGCUUGGAAUUUUAGAACCAACAAACAUUAAACGGGAGUCUGCCUUUGGAUGUGGCGUGUAUGCUUGCAUUUAUGUAAGAAACCCAUGAGCAUUCAACAAGACACCCACCUACGAAAGUAGGUCCUUAAAAUUUCACUGGAACUUACGGCUAAUGUGGGGUUU